AUCGCUUCUUGGCCUUUUGGCUAAGAUCAAGUGUAGUACAAUAUAGCCAUCAAAAUCAGGUAAUGGGUAUUGAUAUAUUAGUAUAUUCUAAUCCUCAGACCUCAU
This is a small nuclear RNA of 105 nucleotides. Its record names the gene U2. It matches the Rfam family "U2 spliceosomal RNA". From Rfam's summary of the family: U2 is a small nuclear RNA (snRNA) component of the spliceosome (involved in pre-mRNA splicing). Complementary binding between U2 snRNA (in an area lying towards the 5' end but 3' to hairpin I) and the branchpoint sequence (BPS) of the intron results the bulging out of an unpaired adenosine, on the BPS, which initiates a nucleophilic attack at the intronic 5' splice site, thus starting the first of two transesterification reactions that mediate splicing. The record is from Ensembl.